This 253-nucleotide ribosomal RNA is filed under the name uncultured bacterium. RNAcentral describes it as "partial 16S ribosomal RNA". It matches the Rfam family "Bacterial small subunit ribosomal RNA", at positions 524 to 776 of the family's 1533-position model. The record is from RNAcentral.
UACGUAGGGUGCGAGCGUUGUCCGGAAUUAUUGGGCGUAAAGGGCUCGUAGGCGGUCUGUUGCGUCGGCUGUGAAAACCCGGGGCUCAACUCCGGGCCUGCAGCCGAUACGGGCAGACUAGAGUUCGGCAGGGGAGACUGGAAUUCCUGGUGUAGCGGUGAAAUGCGCAGAUAUCAGGAGGAACACCGAUUGCGAAGGCAGCUCGCUGGGACGUAACUGACGCUGAGACGCGAAAGCGUGGGGAGCAAACAGG